This 356-nucleotide RNase P RNA is filed under the name endosymbiont of unidentified scaly snail isolate Monju. RNAcentral's name for it is "Bacterial RNase P class A". It matches the Rfam family "Bacterial RNase P class A". From Rfam's summary of the family: Ribonuclease P (RNase P) is a ubiquitous endoribonuclease, found in archaea, bacteria and eukarya as well as chloroplasts and mitochondria. Its best characterised activity is the generation of mature 5'-ends of tRNAs by cleaving the 5'-leader elements of precursor-tRNAs. Cellular RNase Ps are ribonucleoproteins. The record is from Rfam by way of RNAcentral. Lineage: Bacteria; Pseudomonadati; Pseudomonadota; Gammaproteobacteria.
GGAGUCGGCCAGGCGAUCGCUGCCGCAUCGCGGUGGAGGAAAGUCCGGACUCCGUAGGGCAGAGAGCCAGGUAACGCCUGGGCGGCGCGAGCCGACGGAAAGUGCCACAGAAAACAGACCGCCUAAGCCCGAUCGGGCCGGCAAGGGUGAAAAGGUGCGGUAAGAGCGCACCGCGCCCCUGGCAACAGGGGUGGCAGGGUAAACCCCUCUCGGAGCAAGACCAAAUAGGGAAGCGUGCCUCUGGCAGCCUGUGGCCCGCAGGUGCUUCCGGGUAGGUCGCACGAGGCGUCCGGCGACGGGCGUCCCAGAUGAAUGAUCGUCCUCGACAGAAUCCGGCUUAUCGGCCGGCUCCCCUC